Molecule: unclassified non-coding RNA, 380 nt
Filed under: uncultured Actinomycetes bacterium
Lineage: Bacteria; Bacillati; Actinomycetota; Actinomycetes
Description: uncultured actinobacterium contains 16S-23S intergenic spacer region
Source: RNAcentral
UCCGAGUUGACCCCGGCAGUCUCCUACGAGUCCCCGGCAUGAUCCGCUGGCAACAUAGGACAAGGGUUGCGCUCGUUGCGGGACUUAACCCAACAUCUCACGACACGAGCUGACGACAGCCAUGCACCACCUGUGACCGUGCCCCGAAGGGAGACUGUGUUUCCAACGCCGUUGACCAGCCGUUCGAGCCCAGGUAAGGUUCUUCGCGUUGCGUCGAAUUGAACCACAUGCUCCACCGCUUGUGCGGGCCCCCGUCAAUUCCUUUGAGUUUCAGCCUUGCGGCCGUACUCCCCAGGCGGGGCACUUAAUGCGUUAGCUACGGCACGGAACCCGUCGAUAGAGUCCCACACCUAGUGCCCAACGUUUACGGCGUGGACUAC